GACGAACGCUGGCGGCGUGCCUAAUACAUGCAAGUAGAACGCUGAAGGAGGAGCUUGCUUCUCUGGAUGAGUUGCGAACGGGCGAGUAACGCGUAGGUAACCUGCCUGGUAGCGGGGGAUAACUAUUGGAAACGAUAGCUAAUACCGCAUAAGAGUUGAUGUUGCAUGACAUUUGCUUAAAAGGUGCAAUUGCAUCACUACCAGAUGGACCUGCGUUGUAUUAGCUAGUUGGUGGGGUAACGGCUCACCAAGGCGACGAUACAUAGCCGACCUGAGAGGGUGAUCGGCCACACUGGGACUGAGACACGGCCCAGACUCCUACGGGAGGCAGCAGUAGGGAAUCUUCGGCAAUGGACGGAAGUCUGACCGAGCAACGCCGCGUGAGUGAAGAAGGUUUUCGGAUCGUAAAGCUCUGUUGUAAGAGAAGAACGAGUGUGAGAGUGGAAAGUUCACACUGUGACGGUAUCUUACCAGAAAGGGACGGCUAACUACGUG
Molecule: ribosomal RNA, 495 nt
Filed under: uncultured bacterium
Lineage: Bacteria
Description: partial 16S ribosomal RNA
Rfam family: Bacterial small subunit ribosomal RNA
Source: RNAcentral